Molecule: ribosomal RNA, 439 nt
Filed under: uncultured bacterium
Lineage: Bacteria
Description: bacterial SSU rRNA
Rfam family: Bacterial small subunit ribosomal RNA
Source: RNAcentral
AACGCGAAGAACCUUACCUGGGCUUGAACUGCACCGGACAAGGGUGGAAACACCCUCUCCCGAAAGGGCUGGUGUAGAGGUGCUGCAUGGCUGUCGUCAGCUCGUGUCGUGAGAUGUUGGGUUAAGUCCCGCAACGAGCGCAACCCUUGUCCUGUGUUGCCAUGCCGCAAGGCGGCACUCGCAGGAGACCGCCAGCGAUAAGCUGGAGGAAGGUGGGGAUGACGUCAAGUCCUCAUGGCCUUUAUGUCCAGGGCUACACACGUGCUACAAUGGCCGGUACAAAGCGUCGCUAACCUGCGAAGGGGAGCCAAUCGCAAAAAACCGGUCUCAGUUCGGAUUGCAGGCUGCAACUCGCCUGCAUGAAGCUGGAAUCGCUAGUAAUGGCAGAUCAGCACGCUGCCGUGAAUACGUUCCCGGGCCUUGUACACACCGAGACGAC